GCAUUAUGUUCCCAUGCAGCCUGGAUUAAUUGCUUUGGGAGUGACAUUUCUCUGUGGACCACCAAAAUUUUCUCACGGCCCACCAGUGAUUCCUGGCCCACUGGUUGGCGACCACUGGACUAGAAGACCUGUAUUAAGAUCCCUUCCAACCCUAUUAUUCUAUCUUCUACAAGUAUUGCUAAAGCACUUUGAAUAGAUUAUGAUAAACUGUGAUCCUGGUGCAUAAGAGUCAUUGGAUGAUUGUCCUCUUCAGGAGAAGAGCUAGAACCCAUCAUAAAGGGAUGUGGAAAUAAUAGCUCCUUUGAAGAUCUGCAGGUGCUUUAUCAGAUUGGAAGAGACUUCGCUUUCUUUGACCAAAAAAUCUGUGACCAAUCCAGCUGCAAUAAUAGAAGUUUUCCAGAAAAUAAAAGCACAGCCGUGACCAUUCAGAAGGGCUGUGCCACGGAAUCCAUGUGCAGGAGAGACACAGAUAUAUAUUUUAGACUGAAGAGAGAAAAUACUCAUGCCGAAUGUUGUAAAAGGAAUCUUUGCAACCAAGCCCACAGUCCCACCAGCCCACAACUGGUGACAAUUCUUACUUUAUGGUUAGUGUUGAAGGUCUAUCCGUAACCACCCCUGUUUCAUUGGUGGCACAGAAAUAAAUUUGGGACAUUCUGGGGGUGAGGUGUUUUUUUGGCCUCUGGCGUUCCAAUGCAUAAACUUCGUUGCUUUUCUAAAAAAAAAAAUGUUGCUUUUCUUUCUCCCAUUUUGCACACUGAGAAGGUGAGCUCUCCCUUGACUUUUUUUUUUUUAAAUUACAUUUAUAUGCCGCCCUUCUCCGGAGACUCAGGGCGGCUUACAAUUUUUUUG
This 849-nucleotide long non-coding RNA is filed under the name Naja naja (Indian cobra). Its description in RNAcentral is "lncRNA (ENSNNAG00000004185.1)". Lineage: Eukaryota; Metazoa; Chordata; Lepidosauria; Squamata; Elapidae. The record is from RNAcentral.